RNAcentral lists this ribosomal RNA (253 nucleotides) under uncultured bacterium. RNAcentral's name for it is "partial 16S ribosomal RNA". It matches the Rfam family "Bacterial small subunit ribosomal RNA", at positions 524 to 776 of the family's 1533-position model. The record is from RNAcentral.
UACGGAGGGGGCUAGCGUUGUUCGGAAUUACUGGGCGUAAAGCGCGCGUAGGCGGCUUUGUAAGUUAGAGGUGAAAGCCCAGGGCUCAACCCUGGAAUUGCCUUUAAGACUGCAUCGCUUGAACAUCGGAGAGGUAAGUGGAAUUCCGAGUGUAGAGGUGAAAUUCGUAGAUAUCCGGAGGAACACCGGUGGCGAAGGCGGCUUCCUGGACCGACACUGACGCUGAGGCGCGAAAGCUAGGGGAGCAAACGGG